UUUUUUUUUUUUUUUUAAAGACAUUGAGUUUAUUGUCCUUACUAGAGGACACAUGGUUUUUACCUUUUUUUAUCAAAAAUGAAAACCUGAAGUCAUUUUUAAAAAUUCUUUGUUUUGGAGUUCCCGUCGUGGCGCAGUGGUUAACGAAUCCGACUAGGAACCAUGAGGUUGCGGGUUCGGUCCCUGCCCUUGCUCAGGAUCGAACCUGUGGCCUCACGGAUACUAGUUGGGUUUGUUAACCACUGAGCCAAGAGGGGAACUCCCAGAGUAGAUUUUCUUGUGCUAUAGAGUAGCUUCUCCUUAAUCAUCUACUUUAUAUAGUAUAAACACUAAUUUUGAAUCACACAGAAAAGCCUAUUUCAUAUUAGCAUUACAUAUGAACGGAAUAACAAGUACACAAUAUUUUAAAGAGUUUUGUUUUUUUUUAAAGAGUAUAUAAGUUUUAGGCAACGAGUUAAUUAGAUGCCUUGUUUGUCAAGUUUACCCCAUUUCCUGGCUAGACAGGGUCACUAAGCCAUUGCUAUAUUAGACUCAGUGAAUAUUAGCUUUCCAUGUGUAUUUGGGGAAAUGAAAACAUGUCCAAAUACACAUGCUUCUUGACAUUUUACUUCCUUUAAUUUUCGCUUUUUAAUCCAUUUCCCUUUAAGUCUUUAAUCAUCUUUCCAGUAAAGAUUUUCCCUUUCAUUCUGUUCAUGUGUCUUAGGAAUUAAAUAUCCUAUUCUCAGUGGUUUCAUGUAAUCAAAACCUCCCGAUUCAAACCCUGUGUGCAAUCUGCAGGGAGAAAUGAUUAAAAGCGCUUUGCAGAUUUGUUUACGCUCUGCUCAGAAUAAGAAAGUGCAGACUUUUAAAUAUCUGCGAAGAGACUGCCAAUCCAUUACCAUUCUGGAUGAACUUUCUGAACAAGACAUUUUCCAUUAUUUACAGUAUGAGAUGCUUGCAGUCAAGUUUCUGCUAGAAACACUUUUGGGUAAUAGAUGGCACAAAACGAGGCCACGUCGGUCGGUUUCAUGCGCACAAGCUCAUUAAAGUUUUAAACACCCAGACCAAACCACAACCUCUGGCAGCCAUUGCUGAAAGGCCCCAAAAGAUUCCCCAGCAGAAAUAAAGCCAUGGACACAGAUGAAAUUUAGGGCGUGGGGGUGUCGAGGAAGUGAGACAGCAAUUUUUAGUGUAUUUUUUUAUGUAAAUGCUUCCAAGGGACCGAUUCUUACCCUAACAGUCUUCCAUGGCUGCAGUGGGGGCACCUCACUGAAAGAUUGAUUAUCCGAUGAUGAAGUAGGGACAACGAGUCAUGUUCUUUAAAAGCGACUGCUCAUGAAGGAAAGGAAAACACGGGCCUGUCAUUCAAGGAGACACAGGAUGGAGAGAGAUGCUCACAAGCACAGAGCUUGGAGAGCAACAGAUCUGGAUUUAAACCUCAGCUGCGCUGCACACCACUUGUGGGACCUAAAGCAAACCAGGGAACUUCUGUGCACGAGGUGGUAUGUGUCAAAUGGGGCAUAUCACUCCUAAUCUCAAAGGAAGACUGUACUUGACACAAACAUGAUUCCAUAAAAUGUGGAGCAAACUCUGGAGUACGUGCACGUAAAAAUUUUAACUACGUUGAAUGCUAUUAUGAUUCUUCUAUCUAAUGGAUUGUAUUAACUGUGAAAAUUCUUCUAAUUUCCAGGCGUGUAAUUCAUUGUUUCUAGGUUUGAGUCUUAAAAUGACUGGCAUCAGCACUUUAACUGGUAGAUUUUAUACUGAGCAAUCAAGACACUCCAUUGCCAGAACUGAGAGUACACAGGGGACCCUGGGACAGCUCAGGAGUGAGGGGUACCAAUUCUCCUCGAAGUCAAAAACCUGCACAUAACUUUAUAAUCACGAAUCUGUAUCUAUGGUCCCACAUCCUAGAUUCAACCGACUGCGGAUUGUGCAGUACUGCAGCAUGUAUUUGUUGACAGAAAUCCAUGUGUAAGUGAACCCGCCAUUCAAACCCAUGUCUUUCAAAGGUCAGCUCUAUGUAUUUUGUGUCUAUAACCACAAAUGAUCAGGAGCCGAGCAUAUUUAUAAGACAGUUACCAAAAAAACCAAAACAGACUUCUAGAGUAGGUUUUCUUAAGGAGAACCUACGAAAUCCUUCUUUUGCUUAAGCAAUGUACGCUCUAGGAAUGAUUUUAGGGAGCAUUAGCUGCACCAGAAAUGUGGAGAAGAGUGGAUACUUAAGUAUCGAGAGGAAUUUAAAAGUUAAUUGUUGGGGUUAGAGAAAGUAGGUUACCUGAAAUCAAGGAACGGGAGGAGGGUCAGGAGAGGAAGAAUUAACAUGCUGCUCUAGCCCUGAUGGUUAGACGAGGAAACGAGAGAAGUGGACAGUGAGAGAACCACGGGAAUAGAGAUUCACCCUUGGGAUGCCGAAGGGCCGGGGGUGCGCCGUGGCAGCAAACCCCCAGCAGGGCGCACCCUACGGUGAAAUUCAGACCAGGUUGAAAAAGAAGAGUCCUUACAUUCUGGGACGAAGGCCAGAGUUCAAAACCAAAAACAGGGGAUCAUUAUUGUAAUCUGGAAGGAUGCAUAUAACGCUAUUCACAUUCCAAGCCAGAAGCAGACUGUGCUCCGAAAGUUUACUAUUUCACCCCCUUAAUAACUGAACAUGUCUCCCCCUUAAACCAUAUAUAAAUUUCUCUGUUAUGACACCGAUACGCAAGUUCUCUGUGAUUUAACUGUGAUUAUAAAUGCUGAGAAAACAGUGACUAAGAAGACAAGGUCUUAUAAAGAACAGACUUUUGGUUGUCAAGGCGGCGGGGGGGGGGGGGAGGAGGAUGGACUGGGAGUUUGGGGUNGACCUCUAUCCACUCUCUUGGGAUCGACCAUGAUGGAAGAUAAUAUUACAAAGGGAAUAUAUUUAUAUAUAUAUGACUGGGUCACUUUGCCAUACAGCAGAAACUGGCACAGCAUCAUAAAUCAACUAUAGUUUAAAAACAAUAAAAAGAUAAACAAAAGAAGAUAAGAUCUUUAACAAUGAAGGGCAAGUAAGUUUAACAAUCCUGAAACAAUAAUACGAGCUAAUAUUUAUUGAGCACUUAUCAGUUGCCAGGUACCGUAAUCUUAUUUUUUAAAGUGGAAAAAUGAAGCAGAGAUGCAUAACACCUGGUAAAUAGUACCAGCUUUAGUAACAGUGGGGAAAUUGAUUGUGUAUUAAGCUAGAGAGAGGGUCAGAGAGAGAAAAACAGAGAGAAAGACAGAAAGAGAGAGAUUUGGUAAGUUUAUGGAAAUACUUAGCAUUAGUUUUCUGACACAUAAAAUGAGAUUAAAAAUGUGAACUGGGGAAGGUUGUGAGGAAGAGUGGUAGGAGUUAAUGCAUAAUCUAUUAAAACCUUAAUAUGAGCAAGAACAGUUCCAAGUGCUUCACAAGGACAGCCCAUCCGUUUGCACAACAAAGCCAUGAGAAGAACACCCUUGACCUGCAACUGUACAGGUUAGGACACUGGGGGCAGGAAGGUGAAGGGACUUCUGCAGAAUGACUGUUAGUAAGUUGCAGAGUGGCUUUUUAGGCCAGGCAUUCCGGUCCCAAAGCCCAGUCUCUUCAAUACUAUAUGCUUUCCCAUCAAUACCACACUUAAGAUCUUAUUUAUACAUGUGAGCGUGCUUAGGUCUAUAUAAACUCAUACACAUUUUACACAUGCAUAUUAAAACGUGUUCAUAAUGUACAUAAAACAAAAUAAACUCCCCAUAGGCUAUUGUUGUUGUCAUUUUUAUUGCAAUUAUUAUUAUCAUUUCAUAGAAACUAAUUCUGUCCUACAGCUCAUUUCUGGAACCAGGACCCUUUAAGUCUUAGGGUAACCAUAGAAAAAAAGGAAAUAAAGAACAGGAGAAAAAUAAAAAAAAUUGACUGGCUUAUAGAGUUUUUGAUAUCGUGCUAUCUGAUUGGACAUAGAAGUGAGGCAAGUUUUUUCUGCCAUACUUCUGUAAGGACAUUCUACUUCCAUUCCAAAUGAAUUCUAGGCAAUUUGAAUACUAACAAGAACAAAAUAAACUUUAUCCACUUCCCAUCUUUUCACACUUUCAGCACUUUCCUUGGAGCAAAUCAAAUUCUGUUCUAGAAGAACAUCUAAAAGAUGAAGAUUCUACUGUUGCCUUUCGUCAGAGUUCAGACAUAACUAUGGAAGCUCCCCUCAUUUCAUUUCAUGAGUACAUACUCUCUUAGGAUCUGUGCUAUAUAUACUUUGACCCAUCUGCCAAGUUCCCAAAUGCAAGGACAUACAAAUAACUGGAAAAUAUAUACAUACUGAUUAUGAUAAAACCUUUGGGGAAAAAAAAAAAAAAGCCCUGUUAGGGAGUUUCACACUGUUUAAUAUAAGAGUAGUAACUCAUAUCACCAGCUAAGGAGGCUAGAAUUCUUGUCUCAAUUCCAAUUCAGGGAACUCUCAAUAAUCAUCAAUAGAUCAAAUGAUUAUGCUAUGAAAAAAAAAUCUAUUUUUUACCCUUAAUUCCUAAAGAGAAGGUAGCACACAUCUCCUGUACAGUCUAUGAGGCAUCUGCCUGGACAUAGAUAUGGAUAAACUUCUAACAUGCCUUUGACCUCAGAUGGUCCUGUUUCGUGACAUUAAAGAAACAUCUGAUAUUCCAUGCUCCUGGGUUGGAAAAAUUAACAGCAUAAAAAUGGUCAUACUACCCAAAGCAAUCUACAGAUUCAAUGCAAUCCCUAUCAAAUUACCCCUGACAUUUUUUUCACAGAACUGGAACAAACAAUCUAAAAAUUUAUAUGGAACCACAAAAGAUCCUGAAUUGCCAAAGCAUUCCUGAGGAACAAAAACCAAGCAGGAGGCAUAACUCUCCCAGACUUCAGGCAAUAUUACAAAGCCACAGUAAUCAAGACAGUGUGGUAAUGAUGCCAAAACAGACACACAGACCAAUGGGACAGAAUAGAGAGCCCAAAGAUAAACCCAGACACCUACAGUCAAUUAACUUCCACAAAGCAGGCAAGAAUAUAAAAUGGGAAAACGACGGUCUUUUCCAUAGGUGGUACUGGGACAACUGGACAGCUGCAUGCAAAUCAGUGAAACUAGAACACACUCUCACACCAUGCACCAAAAUAAACUCAAAAUGGCUUAAAAGACUUAAA
RNAcentral lists this long non-coding RNA (5101 nucleotides) under Sus scrofa (pig). RNAcentral's name for it is "lncRNA (ENSSSCG00040051125.1)". The record is from RNAcentral. Lineage: Eukaryota; Metazoa; Chordata; Mammalia; Artiodactyla; Suidae.